UGAGGAAUAUUGGUCAAUGGGCGCAAGCCUGAACCAGCCAUGCCGCGUGCAGGAUGAAGCAUCUAUGGUGUGUAAACUGCUUUUGUACGGGAAGAAACACCCCUUCGUGAAGGGGCUUGACGGUACCGUAAGAAUAAGGAUCGGCUAACUCCGUGCCAGCAGCCGCGGUAAUACGGAGGAUCCAAGCGUUAUCCGGAAUCAUUGGGUUUAAAGGGUCCGUAGGCGGUUUUGUAAGUCAGUGGUGAAAUCCGGCAGCUCAACUGUCGAACUGCCAUUGAUACUGCAGGACUUGAAUUAUUGUGAAGUAACUAGAAUAUGUAGUGUAGCGGUGAAAUGCUUAGAUAUUACAUGGAAUACCAAUUGCGAAGGCAGGUUACUAACAAUGGAUUGACGCUGAUGGACGAAAGCGUGGGGAGCGAACAGG
Molecule: ribosomal RNA, 424 nt
Filed under: uncultured Flavobacterium sp.
Lineage: Bacteria; Pseudomonadati; Bacteroidota; Flavobacteriia; Flavobacteriales; Flavobacteriaceae
Description: bacterial SSU rRNA
Rfam family: Bacterial small subunit ribosomal RNA
Source: RNAcentral